GGCUGGGGGGAACUACUUUCAAAGAUAAUGAAUUGCCACCUGGGCGUGGCAUCUCUCCCCAGCACUCUGGUAAAGAGUAGCUUUUGUUACCGCUAAACUGAACACUAAUCAAAACAACCAGCAGGUCAUUUCCAUAGGACAGAUUUAAUCAACUCAGUGUCAAAGGUUGGCCAGCAAUGUUUGUAAUCAGUGAAGCGUAGGAGGAAGUUUGAAGGGCUCUCCUGACGAGUAUUAAAGUACUUUUUUCCCCCCAAUGCUGGAGAGCUAAUCCAGAGCCUCAGAUUAGGCAUGUGUACACGCCAACCUCUGAGGUCGGGGAGCCGGCCUCUCGGCUUCUGGGACUGAGGAGGCUUUUCUCCGAUACGAUUUAUUUAGUAAUUAUCCCAGGCCGGGUGUGGUGGUUGUUCGCCUUUAAUCCCGGUGUUUGGGAGACAGAGGCAGAGUUCAAGGCCAGCCUGGUCUACAUAGUAAGCUCUCUGCCAGACAGGAUGACUCGGAGAAAUUCUGCCUCAAAAAUAAACAGCUGAAAUGGACUGUAAUGGUUUUUCUGGGGCUAGAGAGGUGUCCCCGUUGUUAAAGGGAGUUCGCUGCCCCUGGCAUCCUCAUGGUGGUUCAUACCUGUCUUCGGUUACCCAGGACUUGGAACGUGGAGGCAGGGGGACCAGGAGUUCAAGAUCAUCCCAGCUUUAUUCCGAGGCUGGCCCAGACUACGGGACCCAACACCCUCUUCUGGCCUCCGAGGACAUCAUACAUGAAGCGCACUUACGUAUACAUAAGAGAAGUAAAUAGCAGGGCAUAGCAGCCCUUGUUUUAACGCCAGGAGACAGAGGCGGGCAGAUCUCUAGGAAGGAGUUUGGGGAAAGCCUGGUCCACAUGGUGAGUUCCCGGCAGGCAUCUCAAAGUGAAAGAAAACAAAACUAAUGCAUACAUCUUUUAAAAAGAAAGCAGAAACGUGAGGAUUGGGACUGUAGCUCAGACAGACAGACAGAUCAGGAAGCCAAAGACGCUGAGGGUUCUAUUCUGUCUAUUCUAUUCUAUUAGCGUGCGUGUAUCUGUACGUGGGAACGGGCACUUACGUGGAAUUGCCCUCAAAGGCCGGAAGAGGGCACUGGAUCCCCUGGAGUUGGAGUCACAGAUGGUUGUGACCCAUAGAUGGGAGUGCUGAGGGUGAGCCUCUGGUCUCCGAGAGAGCAGUCCAUACUGAUGAGCCAUCCCUCCAGCCCCGCUGCAUCCUUUGUAUUCCCUCCGAACCCGCACACGUAAGGGAACAAAGGUUUCUCUAAGUAAGGCAGAAGCAGAGGGCCAGAGGAGGGCUCCCUGAGACCCGCUGGAGUCCAGCGAGAUGGAAAAGCCAGCUGACGUCUUUUCUGAUGGAAGAAGACACAGAUUCCCAAUUCAGACAAGCUUUCAAGCUUUCAAGCCAGAGGGCUUGACAUCCUAAUGACAACAAAGCGGCCACUAACUGACUUGGUCACUCGGAGAAACUUAAACUCACUUUUUAACAUAUACUUCCUCUUUUCCAACUGUUUUACUUCUCAGAAUGGCCAGGGCUUCUCUCUUCUCUGCACGAGGUCAGGCGUUAUGGCCUGGCUUUUGACCUCUUUCAGAGAUCCUAUGAAGGAACUUAAUUUGUUUUGUGGGCUUCUGUCUGUGUUUUCAUUUUACUAAGUGAUGGAUUUGAGGGUUUCUUGGUUUGAGCCUUUGCUUUUUUGGUUAUUGUUUUUGUUGUUGUUAUUGUUUUUUGUUGUUGUUUGGGUUUUUGGUGUUUUUGAAACAGGGUUUCUCUGUGUAACUCUAGCUGUUUAGGCAGGCUUCACAGAGAUCCGCCUGCCUCUGCCUCCUGAGUGCUGGGAUUAAAGGCAUGUGCUACCAUC
Molecule: long non-coding RNA, 1874 nt
Organism: Psammomys obesus (fat sand rat)
Lineage: Eukaryota; Metazoa; Chordata; Mammalia; Rodentia; Muridae
Exons: 2
Source: RefSeq, a predicted model, not a curated record